UCGGGAAUUUUGCGCAAUGGACGAAAGUCUGACGCAGCGGCGCCGCGUGUGCGAUGAAGGCCUUUGGGUCGUAAAGCACUGUCGACCGGGACGAAAACUCACGGACUAAUACUUCGUGAGUCUGACGGUACUGGUAAAGGAAGCACCGGCUAACUCUGUGCCAGCAGCCGCGGUAAUACAGAGGGUGCAAACGUUGCUCGGAAUUAUUGGGCGUAAAGCGCGUGUAGGCGGCUAGAUAAGUCAGAUGUGAAAUCCCUCGGCUCAACCGAGGAAGUGCAUUUGAAACUAUCUAGCUCGAGGAUGGCAGAGGAAGGUGGAAUUCCUAGUGUAGAGGUGAAAUUCGUAGAUAUUAGGAGGAAUACCGGUGGCGAAGGCGGCCUUCUGGACCAUUCCUGACACUGAGACGCGAAAGCGUGGGUAGCAAACAGGAUUAGAUACCCCCGUAGUCCCUGAGCGGGCUGGCAAGGCGCAU
This 472-nucleotide ribosomal RNA is filed under the name uncultured bacterium. Its description in RNAcentral is "bacterial SSU rRNA". It matches the Rfam family "Bacterial small subunit ribosomal RNA", at positions 355 to 825 of the family's 1533-position model. The record is from RNAcentral.